RNAcentral lists this ribosomal RNA (450 nucleotides) under uncultured bacterium. RNAcentral describes it as "bacterial SSU rRNA". It matches the Rfam family "Bacterial small subunit ribosomal RNA", at positions 354 to 796 of the family's 1533-position model. The record is from RNAcentral.
GUGGGGAAUUUUGGACAAUGGGCGAAAGCCUGAUCCAGCCAUGCCGCGUGCAGGAUGAAGGCCUUCGGGUUGUAAACUGCUUUUGUACGGAACGAAAAGACUCCUUCUAAUAAAGGGGGUCCAUGACGGUACCGUAAGAAUAAGCACCGGCUAACUACGUGCCAGCAGCCGCGGUAAUACGUAGGGUGCAAGCGUUAAUCGGAAUUACUGGGCGUAAAGCGUGCGCAGGCGGUUAUAUAAGACAGAUGUGAAAUCCCCGGGCUCAACCUGGGAACUGCAUUUGUGACUGUAUAGCUAGAGUACGGUAGAGGGGGAUGGAAUUCCGCGUGUAGCAGUGAAAUGCGUAGAUAUGCGGAGGAACACCGAUGGCGAAGGCAAUCCCCUGGACCUGUACUGACGCUCAUGCACGAAAGCGUGGGGAACAAACAGGAUUAGAAACCCUAGUAGUCC